This 58-nucleotide transfer RNA is filed under the name Dipodomys ordii (Ord's kangaroo rat). It matches the Rfam family "tRNA", at positions 8 to 63 of the family's 71-position model. Rfam says of the family: Transfer RNA (tRNA) molecules are approximately 80 nucleotides in length. Their secondary structure includes four short double-helical elements and three loops (D, anti-codon, and T loops). Further hydrogen bonds mediate the characteristic L-shaped molecular structure. tRNAs have two regions of fundamental functional importance: the anti-codon, which is responsible for specific mRNA codon recognition, and the 3' end, to which the tRNAs corresponding amino acid is attached (by aminoacyl-tRNA synthetases). tRNAs cope with the degeneracy of the genetic code in two manners: having more than one tRNA (with a specific anti-codon) for a particular amino acid; and 'wobble' base-pairing, i.e. permitting non-standard base-pairing at the 3rd anti-codon position. The record is from Rfam by way of RNAcentral. Lineage: Eukaryota; Metazoa; Chordata; Mammalia; Rodentia; Heteromyidae.
UGGCUCAGUGGUAGAGCGUUUGCCUUGCAUGCAUGAAGCCCUGGGUUCGAUUCCUCAG